CAGCAGCCGCGGUAAUACGAAGGGGGCUAGCGUUGCUCGGAAUUACUGGGCGUAAAGGGCGCGUAGGCGGACAGUUAAGUUGGGGGUGAAAGCCCGGGGCUCAACCUCGGAAUUGCCUUCAAUACUGGCUGUCUUGAGUAUGAGAGAGGUGUGUGGAACUCCGAGUGUAGAGGUGAAAUUCGUAGAUAUUCGGAAGAACACCAGUGGCGAAGGCGACACACUGGCUCAUUACUGACGCUGAGGCGCGAAAGCGUGGGGAGCAAACAGGAUUAGAUACCCCAGUAGUCCCUGUCUCUUAUAC
RNAcentral lists this ribosomal RNA (301 nucleotides) under uncultured bacterium. Its description in RNAcentral is "partial 16S ribosomal RNA". It matches the Rfam family "Bacterial small subunit ribosomal RNA", at positions 509 to 807 of the family's 1533-position model. The record is from RNAcentral.